Molecule: transfer RNA, 67 nt
Filed under: Curculionoidea sp. 12 KM-2017
Lineage: Eukaryota; Metazoa; Arthropoda; Insecta; Coleoptera
Description: tRNA-Ser
Source: RNAcentral
AGUUAAUGAACUUGUACAAGUAUAUAUUUUGAAAAUAUAAUAAAGAGAAACUAAUCUCUAUUAGCUU